GUCUAAGGCCAUACCACCCUGAAUGCGCCCGAUUUCGUCUGAUCUCGGAAGCUAAGCAGGGUUGGGCCUGGUUAGUACUUGGAUGGGAGAAACUGAAAGAUGGGGGGACCUGGGUGGCUCAGUUG
Molecule: ribosomal RNA, 125 nt
Filed under: Neogale vison (American mink)
Lineage: Eukaryota; Metazoa; Chordata; Mammalia; Carnivora; Mustelidae
Source: RNAcentral